GGAGGCGGGGCUGAGCUGAGCUGGAGUGGAGGCAGCAUGUCACCCCAGUAGUAAGAUGCAGUAUUUCCAGGAUGUGGAGUCACAUUUCCAGACUUACAGCAAGAAGUUGGAUGAAGACAUAACCUCUGGAAUCACGCACAUACACAGACACUUUGCCCAAAUUAUAGAGAUAACCUCCUUUAGUAUGCCCAGAGGAAGGGCAAUACAGUAGCCAUGGAUUCCCUACAGGUUUCCUCCCCUCUGGAGGUUUUUCCUGUCCUGAGUAUUAGUUACUGUACGCUCUUUGUGAGUGAUGGGAGGUUACAAAAAACCCCUACACAAACAUUGUAAUAAAUAAUAAAUAAAGUUUCCCCUUUUUUAACCUUUC
This is a long non-coding RNA of Hyla sarda, 367 nucleotides long. RefSeq lists it as uncharacterized. The transcript is spliced from 2 exons. The record is from RefSeq and is a predicted model, not a curated record. Lineage: Eukaryota; Metazoa; Chordata; Amphibia; Anura; Hylidae.